Molecule: ribosomal RNA, 254 nt
Filed under: uncultured bacterium
Lineage: Bacteria
Description: partial 16S ribosomal RNA
Rfam family: Bacterial small subunit ribosomal RNA
Source: RNAcentral
UACGGGGGGAGCAAGCGUUGUUCGGAUUUACUGGGCGUAAAGGGCGCGUAGGCGGCCAGCACAAGUCAGUUGUGAAAUCUCCGAGCUUAACUCGGAAAGGUCAACUGACACUGUGCGGCUAGAGUGCAGAAGGGGCAACUGGAAUUCUUGGUGUAGCGGUGAAAUGCGUAGAUAUCAGGAGGAACACCAAUGGCGAAGGCAGAUCUCUGGGCCGUAACUGACGCUGAGGAGCGAAAGCAUGGGGAGCGAACAGG